AGAGAUUGUGUGAUGACGCAUAUCAAUAAGCGGAGGAAAAGGAACUAACAAGGAUUCCCUUAGUAACGGCGAGUGAAGCGGGAAGAGCUCAAAUUUGAAAUCUUCAAGGUUUUACCUUGACGAAUUGUAGUUUAAAGAAGUGUUUUCUGUUGGAGUUUCGGUAAAAGUUCUUUGGAAUAGGACAUCAUAGAGGGUGAGAAUCCCGUAUUUGACCGUUACUUUCCAGCUGUGUGAUACACUUUCAACGAGUCGGAUUGUUUGGGAAUGCAGUCCAAAAUGGGUGGUAAAUUUCAUCUAAAGCUAAAUAUUGGCGAGAGACCGAUAGCGAACAAGUACCGUGAGGGAAAGAUGAAAAGAACUUUGAAAAGAGAGUUAAACAGUACGUGAAAUUGUCAAAAGGGAAGCGUUUGACACCAGUGUUGUUUUUCCGAAAAUCAAUUACGAAUGUUUUAUUUUUGAGGAGUUAUGACUUCAUCGGCUUGCUCCUUUCUUUACGAAACUUUCUUAAUGCACUUUUCGGUUAACAAGUCAACAUCAAUUUCUUUUGUUAUAAAAGGGUAUGAGGAAGGUGGCUUUCUUUUCGGAGAAAGUGUUUAUAGCCUUGUACCUCUGCAAUCGGAGAGAUUGAGGUCUGCAGCGUAGAUCCUUCGGGGUUAGAUACAUUUGUGCUAAGUUAUAGCUUUUCAUAGACAACUUGUUGACUAUGUUUAGUCUUGUAGCUUAGCUCGCUUAUGCUAUUUUACCUACGCUUAGGAUGUUGAAGUCAUCGUAUCGCGC
Molecule: ribosomal RNA, 777 nt
Filed under: uncultured Neocallimastigales
Lineage: Eukaryota; Fungi; Neocallimastigomycota; Neocallimastigomycetes; Neocallimastigales
Description: partial large subunit ribosomal RNA
Rfam family: Eukaryotic large subunit ribosomal RNA
Source: RNAcentral